RNAcentral lists this ribosomal RNA (440 nucleotides) under uncultured bacterium. RNAcentral's name for it is "partial 16S ribosomal RNA". It matches the Rfam family "Bacterial small subunit ribosomal RNA", at positions 338 to 795 of the family's 1533-position model. The record is from RNAcentral.
CCUACGGGGGGCAGCAGUGGGGGAUAUUGCACAAUGGGGGAAACCCUGAUGCAGCGACGCCGCGUGUAGGAAGACGGUCCUCUGGAUUGUAAACUACUGUCCCCAGGGACGAAGAUGACGGUACCUGGGGAGGAAGCUCCGGCUAACUACGUGCCUGCAGCCGCGGUAAUACGUAGGGAGCGAGCGUUGUCCGGAAUUACGGGGUGUAAAGGGAGCGUAGGCGGGGAUGCAAGUUGGGUGUUAAAUCUACCGGCUCAACUGGUAGUCGCACUCAAAACUGCAGCUCUUGAGGGAAGUAGAGGCAGGCGGAAUGCCUAGUGUAGCGGUGAAAUGCGUAGAUAUUAGGAGGAACACCAGUGGCGAAGGCGGCCUGCUGGGCUUUUACUGACGCUGAGGCUCGAAAGUGUGGGGAGCGAACAGGAUUAGAUACCCCAGUAGUC